GAUGAACGCUGGCGGCGUGCCUAAUACAUGCAAGUCGAGCGAACAGACGAGGAGCUUGCUCCUCUGACUUUAGCGGCGGACAGGUGAGUAACACGUGGAUAACCUACCUAUAAGACUGGGAUAACUUCGGGAAACCGGAGCUAAUACCGGAUAAUUUAUUGAACAGCAUGGUUCAAUAGUGAAAGACGGUUUUGCUGUCACUUAUAGAUGGAUCCGCUCCGCAUUAGCUAUUUGGUAAGGUAACGGCUUACCACGGCAACGAUGCGUAGCCGACCUGAGAGGGUGGUCGGCCACACUGGAACUGAGACACGGUCCAGACUCCGACGGGAGGCAGCAGUAGGGAAUCUUCCGCAAUGGGCGAAAGCCUGACGGAGCAACGCCGCGUGAGUGAUGAAGGUCUUCGGAUCGUAAAACUCUGUUAGUAGGGAAGAACAAAUGUGUAAGUAACUAUGCACGUCUUGACGGUACCUAAUCAGAAAGCCACGGCUAACUACGUG
This 497-nucleotide ribosomal RNA is filed under the name uncultured bacterium. Its description in RNAcentral is "partial 16S ribosomal RNA". It matches the Rfam family "Bacterial small subunit ribosomal RNA", at positions 28 to 507 of the family's 1533-position model. The record is from RNAcentral.